This 579-nucleotide ribosomal RNA is filed under the name Clavus albotuberculatus. RNAcentral's name for it is "partial 12S ribosomal RNA". The record is from RNAcentral. Lineage: Eukaryota; Metazoa; Mollusca; Gastropoda; Neogastropoda; Drilliidae.
UGCCAGCAGUCGCGGUUAAACCAAGAAAUUAAGUCAUAUUUAACGGUAAAAAGAUAGUUAGAUAUUAAUUAAAAUAAGUUUUUGAAUGAUUUAUAUAAAAGUAAAAUUUAAAUAUAAAUUUUUAAACUAAGAAUAACUUAAUAAAUUGAAUCUAUAAAAAUCUUGAGGGAAACUGGGACUAGAUACCCCAUUAUUCUUGAUUAUAAAAAUAUAAAUUACCAGAGUACUACGAAUAAAUAAAAUUUAAAACUCAAAGGGCUUGGCGGUGUCUUAGACCACUUAGGGGAACCUGUCUCAUAAUCGAUAAUCCACGUUAUACCUAACUUUUUUUCGUAUUCAGCUUGUAUACCGUUGUCGUCAGGUAACUUUUAAAAAACUAUAAGUUAGCUAUAAACUCUUUAAUUAAAACGUCAGAUCAAGGUGCAGCCUAUAAAAAAGGGAGGAUGGGUUACAAUUAAUAUUCAUAAUUAUGGAUAAUUUUUUUUGAAAAAAUAAUUUGAAGGCGGACUUAAAAGUAAAUCAGAUUAUAAAAAUAUUUUGAAUAAGGCUCUGAGAUGUGCACACAUCGCCCGCCACUCU